ACUGCCGUCGCGACAGUCCAUUAAUAUCUUCCAGGGCCCCGCCCGGCCAUCGUGUUUACCCCUUAGCAUUUUGGAGGCUCCAGUGCACAUACGAACACUAUGCAGCUGGGAGAGACAUGUCUCCUCGGCCAUCAGGACUAGUCCUUGAGAGGGUUCCUUCAAACUUGAGCCAUUUAAGGAACCACGCGGAGCUUUGAGAAAAGAAAAACCAUAAAGACGCCACACUCAAAAUGGCGUUGGACUCCGCAAGCGUGGCGUGACGUGGCGACCCAGCUCACAAGGACAACUUCAAAACACUAGAUUACUCGAUUUUUAGCGCUUUCUCACUUCGCUGUCGAACUAACAAGUUUGUCCUGUGAAAGAAAGACCAGAAUGGCUAUAAACGGAUCCCAAGAAACGAUCUUCGCCACACUCAAGAUGGCGGCAGAUAGCGUCCGACCGUGUGUUGCCACAAGGGGGCGCCCGACACGGAAGGCGGAACUUAGGAAAAACGCGUUCACACUGGCUGACAGUGGCGGGCGAACACAAAGUUGACGCUUUGCGCCCUGCCAUUGGUCCUUCCUGCUGUCUGUCGCCUGUGGACCGCGGAAUCGGGAGUGGGGAAAACCCGGAGUCUUGAAUCGUGGAGGACGGGUGGAUGGCAAAUUCCGUAGACCUUUGAGGUCGAGGCGAGGAGACUGAAUUGCCCUUAUCGUUUCCCUCGGGCGCUUGGGCCCAUCCCCGCCAGGAGGCCCCUUUACUGAGCUUGAGGAGAGGGGAGGAACGUGCAGUGUCGGGGAACUGCUGUAGUUGGACCCCGGAUCUGCCCGCGAGCCGCACGUGGCCGGCCCGCAUCCCCGCGCGCACGUGCCAGCCCCGCCGCCAGCCUUUCGGGCCUCCUCGAGCUUUUCCUUUAAGGAGAAUGCCUUGCCGCCGCCCUUUGGCCUGCACCCACUCUCGUUGUCCAGUGGUAGCUCCUGUCCCCCGCAGCCCCUGGCAACAGAGAGGUAUACUUCGCGUGGUCUCACUCUUCUCCAAGCACACUAAUGGCUGGAGGUGGUUAUCUCGCCCCAGCGCCUUAGGUUGCACAAACUGUCCCUGAGUCCGAACUCUGCCCCACCCCCGCCAGCGGCGGUCACUGUAGCGAGGAUAUGGAGCCAUUCUCCUUAAACCGGGAAGGGCCUUUGAGCUGCAGCUGCCAAGGCCCCCUUUUUUUUGUAGGAGAUAGGGAUUGUGCUUCAAUAUAAACAAAAAAGAGGAUGCUGUCUACCUGGGGCUUAUCCAUUAAGCUCCCGCUAUUCUCUAGAGGACUGUUCCAUCUACAAAACCCAGAUGCACAAAGAGCUUGGCUUACACUACCCACAUCUUAGCAGUUGUGGUUUCUGAGUUCGCAGUAAAGAGGACAUCAGGUUCUGGAUUGGGAGAGCUGAGGGAGGCAAGGUGGCAAUCAGUGAGAAGCUGGAUAAGUAUGAAUUUCCCUCGAAGAACUACUUUAUCUAGUCUUGUGCAUGCUCCUGGCCCUACUAAAAGAGUGGGAGGGAGGCUCAAGCAUCAGGUUGCAGCCGUACCACCUAAAUUCAAGCUAAGCUUACUGAUCUCCUGCUGUAUUCAUGAUAGUGAUUGGCUCAUGCAAGGGGUUUCGGGGCAGAGGUUCUAGAAGGGGACUUGAAGUUAUCAAAUAAACCAUGAUCAGAGCUCUGGCUAUCCUAGUAUGGUUGAGAAGACCAGGAACACAGAAACAGAAGUCACCUCUGGGCCUUCUGUCUGGCCACAGGAGUCUAACAGCCAGGAACUACUGCAGUUUACUGGGGCUAUGAGGACUCUCUUCCUGUAACUGGUUGUUCUACUUCUUCAGCUGUUUCUGAGAGGGCUGGUCUUAUUGUCUGGAUUUCCUCAUCCAUGUAUCUUAGGCCUUUGGCUGCUCCAGAGGCAGGAAGUGAGGCAAUUCCAUGUUGUUACCCAAAUCUCUCCAGACAAGCUAGUGAGCUCUAACAGGCCACUUUUCUUCCUCUAGGUCAGUUCAAACAGAUCUGGGGUGUUCUGGACCUGCCUUAAACCUGUGUUCAGUGCAGGUGGUCCAGACGGCUUCAGGGCAAGUUCAUUUUAAGGGAAUUUUCCUGGGCACACCUCUUUUUGCCUUAUACAUUCCCCAGCAGGCCUGACCUGUUUCUUUAACGGGCCUGGCCCUAUAGGUGCUUAGCCUGCAGCCUAGGAUGGCUCCUGAGUAAUUUCGAACAUAUUUAUUCCUUAUUGAUUAUCUCACAACUCUGCCUGAUACCUAAAACAUUAAGUAUCUAUUUUGGGAGCUGGGUCAGAUUUGGGGGCUGCUGAAGUAGUGCCCAGGAUUAAGAUGCUGCCAGGCCUGAGGACCUAGGCUCAGUCUCUGUGGGCCACAAGGUAGCAGGAGAGAGACAUUCCCACAAGAUGUAGGACCUCCUGCUGACCUCCAUGUGUGCCCUUCUCCACGCAUAAACAGAUACAUGUAAUUUUUGUUUGGUUGGUUUAAUUUUUCAAGACAAGGCUUCGCUGUGUAGCCCCGACUGUCCUGGAACUCUGUGUAGACCAGGCUGGCCUUGAAUUCAGAAAUCCACCUGCCUCUGCCUCCUACUACCGGAAUUAAAGGAGUGUGCCACCAUGUCCUUUCAUGGUGUACUUUUUUUCAAUUAAAAUAUAUAUUUGAGAACUGGGCAGUGGUGAUCCAUGCAUAUGUGUGCGUAUACAUAGAUAUAUACUAUAUAUUUACAUAUCAUAACUAUGUAAUCAUUAUAUAUAAUCCACACAUGUAUUAAAGCUGCCUGCAUCAGCCCCAGCCAUGCUGUUUCUCAUUUGUGUAAAGACAGGUGAUCCACUUUCUCACCUCUAAAAGCCAGACGUGACAUAACAGUGACCUGAAAACUAGAUAUUCAGAAGGAGCUGAUAACAGUGCCCAGCACAUUCAGGGAAACAUGCUCUCAGGCUGCCACCUUUCAGUUACCAUCUAUAUGUAAGUGGGUAUGCGUGUAAGAAUGUUUGCAGGACUCUGGCAAAAGGAACACGGUCUUCAGCAGAGUUUUCUCAUGUUUGGUGGCAAAGGAGGACGGUGUCUUCAGACUUUCUGAGGCCAGUGAUUCAUCGCCCAGCAUGGUUGGCAGUGCCUUCGGCUUCUGAGGGACGAUGGAGUCGGGGCGGUAGCCACAGUGGAACAGACCUCAAAAACCCCUGCCUUCCCGCCCCUCAGAAUUCAGAACCCCUGGAGUUUCGGGCUGUGGUUUCCUUGCUCAGGCGUCAGGGCCUGGGGAGCUGCCAGCUGCCUUUCAACCCUCCCGCCUUGCCAGUGGCUGGAUUGUGUAAGAGCCACCCCCCCUCCAUGGCUGCUCUCUAGCAGGCCUGGGCCUGCCCGCCCUUGCUGUCCUCCCUGGGGAGCUGGGGUAGAGGCCUGACUCCUGGUACUACUGGUACUCACAGGACUGGCCACCCUGGGAGGCUUCUAAGCAGCAGGGAGAGGGUGUGGAAUGUCUCUUGACAUUUGAGGCCUGCUCUCAAAACCAGUGCCAGAACCUGCAGAGCCCGGUGGUGCCGGUGCCGGCAGGAACCAAGUGAGCUCUGGUUUCAUUGGUGAGUGGGUGGGCCCAGCCUCACCUCGAGAUGGCACAGGAAGAUGCUGGUUGCAGAAACUCAUGAGUUGGCACACACCUGGGUAACCACCUUCGAAGGCCGGUGAGGCACUGCAUCUGACAAGAAGGUAGGUUCCUGUGGGACCCUAAAUUCAGCAGAGACUCUCCACACUUCUGCCUUUCUGCUACACCACCCGACUUGGGAGCACAGCAGGAGCCCCAAGGAGGGGGCUGUUGAGCUGGGGUCUUGGAGCUGAGAUGUUCUCACACUCUCCCACACAAGGUCCUCUGAGCAGAGCAAUCUCUUCCAGCCAUGUUCUGGAAGGAAAACAGUCAGGUAAAGUCUCUGUCUCUGUAGGAAAAUCUCAAAACCAGACUCACCCUCACCGAACUUAAACCUGGCCAGGGAGAGCAAGGCCUGGUAGAUGCCUUUUUAUAGAUGUGUGUGCACCACGCAUGAGAAGUCCAAGGACGGAGCUGCCUUCACAUCUGAGCCUGACUCUGUCAUCCCUCAGGGACUAUUUACUGACCUCGCUUUGGUUGCAGUAUUCUCCAUUAAGGUGGUAUGGAAGGUUACCUACAAUUGCUUCCCCAGCACAUGGCUUCAUCAUCCACACUUUGGUAAACAGAGAAGAAUAUGGCCUAUUUCCUUGGGAGAGAACUGCGUGCCUGUCCCAACCCUGCUGACUACUCACAGAACCACACUACUCUGAGGCAUAAAACCUUUGACCAACAUAAUUUUUUUACAUCCCCAAAAUAUUAAAAAUCAACCUCAUUUAAAUUGUUCAGGUUGAGUCAGUCGUGUGUUAUACACCUUGAAUCUCAGCAAUCGAGGCAGAAGGAUCCCUGUGAGUUUGAAGCAGGCCAUCCAGAAACACAUAGUGAAACACUGCC
Rattus norvegicus (Norway rat) is the source of this 4466-nucleotide non-coding RNA. NCBI's taxonomy places the organism in Eukaryota, Metazoa, Chordata, Mammalia, Rodentia, Muridae. The record is from RefSeq and is a predicted model, not a curated record.